CACACACACACACACACACACACACACAGAGCAUAUACAACAUAUGUACACAGAUAUGUGAGAAAUCCAUUUCUGUUUUAUUGUCCUCAUUGAUUGAUUUAUUCAUUCAUUAAUUCAUUCAGGGACCUCAAGGGCCACAGGGUCGUGUAGGAGAGAUCGGGCCAAAGGGACCAAAUGGUCCUGGUGGUAAAGACGGGUUACCGGGUCACCCAGGCCAGCGAGGGGAGCCGGGUUUUCAGGGAAAGACGGGACCUCCUGGACCUGCAGGUGUGGUGGGACCUCAGGGGAACACUGGAGAAACCGGACCAGUGGGAGAACGAGGUCACCCAGGAUCAGCAGGACCACCCGGAGAGCAAGGUUUACCUGGUGCAGCUGGAAAAGAA
Molecule: long non-coding RNA, 383 nt
Organism: Ictalurus punctatus (channel catfish)
Lineage: Eukaryota; Metazoa; Chordata; Actinopteri; Siluriformes; Ictaluridae
Source: Ensembl